CCUACGAGAGGCCGCAGUGGGGAAUAUUGCACAAUGGGGGAAACCCUGAUGCAGCGCCGCCGCGUGAGCGAGGAAGUAUUUCUGUAUGUAAAGCUCUAGCAGCAGGGACGAAAAGAGACGGUACCUGACUACGAAGCCCCGGCUACCGACGUGCCAGCCGCCGCGGUCCUACGUAGGGGGCAAGCGUUAACCGGAUUUACUGGGUGGAAAGGGAGCGUAGACGGCAAGGCAAGCCAGAAGUGAAAGGUCAGGGCUCAACCCUGUACAUGUUUUUGGAACUGUGGGGCUAGAGUGCAGGAGAGGUAAGUGGAAUUCCUAGGGUAGCGGUGAAAUGCGUAGAUAUUAGGAGGAACACCAGUGGCGAAGGCGGCUUACUGGACUGUAACUGACGUUGAGGCUCGAAAGCGUGGGGAGCAAACAGGAUUAGAUACCCCGGUAGUC
Molecule: ribosomal RNA, 441 nt
Filed under: uncultured bacterium
Lineage: Bacteria
Description: partial 16S ribosomal RNA
Rfam family: Bacterial small subunit ribosomal RNA
Source: RNAcentral